UUCUAUGCUAGGGAAUCGAACCCCAAUCUCUUGUGUGGAAGACAAGCAUACUACCAUUGUACGAGCAAAGA
RNAcentral lists this transfer RNA (71 nucleotides) under Hyperionvirus sp. Its description in RNAcentral is "tRNA-Gly". Lineage: Varidnaviria; Bamfordvirae; Nucleocytoviricota; Megaviricetes; Imitervirales; Mimiviridae. The record is from RNAcentral.